GAUGAACGCUGGCGGCGUGCCUAAUACAUGCAAGUCGAGCGAAUGGAUUAAGAGCUUGCUCUUAUGAAGUUAGCGGCGGACGGGUGAGUAACACGUGGGUAACCUGCCCAUAAGACUGGGAUAACUCCGGGAAACCGGGGCUAAUACCGGAUAACAUUUUGAACCGCAUGGUUCGAAAUUGAAAGGCGGCUUCGGCUGUCACUUAUGGAUGGACCCGCGUCGCAUUAGCUAGUUGGUGAGGUAACGGCUCACCAAGGCAACGCUGCGUAGCCGACCUGAGAGGGUGAUCGGCCACACUGGGACUGAGACACGGCCCAGACUCCUACGGGAGGCAGCAGUAGGGAAUCUUCCGCAAUGGACGAAAGUCUGACGGAGCAACGCCGCGUGAGUGAUGAAGGCUUUCGGGUCGUAAAACUCUGUUGUUAGGGAAGAACAAGUGCUAGUUGAAUAAGCUGGCGCCUUGACGGUUCCUAACCUGAAAGCCACGGCUAACUACGUGCCAGCCGCCGCAGUAA
This 515-nucleotide ribosomal RNA is filed under the name uncultured bacterium. Its description in RNAcentral is "partial 16S ribosomal RNA". It matches the Rfam family "Bacterial small subunit ribosomal RNA", at positions 28 to 523 of the family's 1533-position model. The record is from RNAcentral.